CCAAUAGCGUAUAUUAAGGCUGUUGCAGUUAAAAAGCUCGUAGUUGAAUUUCGGGACCAAUUUGUCGGUCGUGCCUCGGUACGUACUGGUAUUAUUGGUUUCUCCCUUCUGAAGAACCUUGAUGUCAUUAAUUUGGUGUCUUGGGGAAUCAGGACUGUUACUUUGAAAAAAUUAGAGUGUUUAAAGCAGGCUCGCGCUUGAAUACAUUAGCAUGGAAUAAUGAAAUAGGACGUUUGAUUCUAUUUUGUUGGUUUCUAGGAUUGACGUAAUGAUUAAUAGGGAUAGUUGGGGGCAUUAGUAUUCAAUUGUCAGAGGUGAAAUUCUUGGAUUUAUUGAAGACUAACUACUGCGAAAGCAUUUGCCAAGGAUGUUUUCAUUAAUCAAGAACGAAAGUUAGGGGAUCGAAGACGAUCAGAUACCGUCGUAGUCUUAACCAUAAACUAUGCCGACUAGGGAUCGGAUGAUGUUAAUUUUUUAAUGACUCAUUCGGCGCCUUACG
RNAcentral lists this ribosomal RNA (499 nucleotides) under uncultured Glomeromycotina. RNAcentral describes it as "partial small subunit ribosomal RNA". It matches the Rfam family "Eukaryotic small subunit ribosomal RNA", at positions 591 to 1092 of the family's 1831-position model. The record is from RNAcentral. Lineage: Eukaryota; Fungi; Glomeromycota.